GGCAGUUGUUCAUGAUGACAAGGCUGUACCUUGGAGCCGGAGCACACAACUCCUGAGAAUCAGCAUGAAGCCACUUUGUGAGACCAGAACCAAGGCCAUGGUUACCGGAACCACACCUUGACUGAGACUGCCUCAGGAAUUGCAGAAGAGGACAUUGUCCCAGCACUUGGGAACAGCCACUAAAAUUGGAGUCUUGAAAUUGGCUCUCCACCGCAUGUGUGGAGGUCAGGAAGUCUUAGACAAGGUCAAGGUAGCACACACUGGCUUUAAACUCACAAUCCUCUUGUCUUAGAAACCCUAGUGCUGGGAUGACAGUCAGUCCCAAUUUGGGCAAAGCGAAACAGCCUCUGCAGACUAGUAAGAAGAGAAGUGGAAUGUGCAGAAAGUCACGUUCAGGAAAGCAAAAGCAGAUGAAUGGAGCCCUG
Peromyscus maniculatus bairdii (prairie deer mouse) is the source of this 425-nucleotide non-coding RNA. Lineage: Eukaryota; Metazoa; Chordata; Mammalia; Rodentia; Cricetidae. The record is from RefSeq and is a predicted model, not a curated record.